GAUGAACGCUGACAGAAUGCUUAACACAUGCAAGUCAACUUGAACUUCGGUUUGGGUGGCGGACGGGUGAGUAACGCGUAAAGAACUUACCUCACAGAUAGGGACAACAUUUGGAAACGAAUGCUAAUACCUAAUAUUAUGAUUUUAGGGCAUCCUAGGAUUAUGAAAGCUAUAUACGCUGUGAGAGAGCUAUGCGUCCCAUUAGCUAGUUGGAGAGGUAACGGCUCACCAAGGCGAUGAUGGGUAGCCGGCCUGAGAGGGUGAUCGGCCACAAGGGGACUGAGACACGGCCCUUACUCCUACGGGAGGCAGCAGUGGGGAAUAUUGGACAAUGGACCAAGAGUCUGAUCCAGCAAUUCUGUGUGCACGAUGAAGUUUUUCGGAAUGUAAAGUGCUUUCAGUUGGGAAGAAAAAAAUGACGGUACCAACAGAAGAAGUGACGGCUAAAUACGUGCCAGCAGCCGCGGUAAUACGUAUGUCACAAGCGUUAUCCGGAUUUAUUGGGCGUAAAGCGCGUCUAGGUGGUUAUGUAAGUCUGAUGUGAAAAUGCAGGGCUCAACUCUGUAUUGCGUUGGAAACUGUAUAACUAGAGUACUGGAGAGGUAAGCGGAACUACAAGUGUAGAGGUGAAAUUCGUAGAUAUUUGUAGGAAUGCCGAUGGGGAAGCCAGCUUACUGGACAGAUACUGACGCUGAAGCGCGAAAGCGUGGGUAGCAAACAGG
This 722-nucleotide ribosomal RNA is filed under the name uncultured Fusobacterium sp. Its description in RNAcentral is "bacterial SSU rRNA". It matches the Rfam family "Bacterial small subunit ribosomal RNA", at positions 28 to 776 of the family's 1533-position model. The record is from RNAcentral. Lineage: Bacteria; Fusobacteriati; Fusobacteriota; Fusobacteriia; Fusobacteriales; Fusobacteriaceae.